AUUUAAGUAGUUUAAAAAAAAACAUUAAUUUGUGGAAUUAAAAAUAUAAAAUUUAUCUUAAAUA
Molecule: transfer RNA, 64 nt
Filed under: Emeia pseudosauteri
Lineage: Eukaryota; Metazoa; Arthropoda; Insecta; Coleoptera; Lampyridae
Also listed under: 1 other name
Description: tRNA-His
Source: RNAcentral